AGUGAACGCUGGCGGUAGGCCUAACACAUGCCAGUCGAACGGCAGCACAGUAAGAGCUGCUCUUACGGGUGGCGAGUGGCGGACGGGUGAGGAAUACAUCGGAAUCUACUUUUUCGUGGGGGAUAACGUAGGGAAACUUACGCUAAUACCGCAUACGACCUACGGGUGAAAGCAGGGGAUCUUCGGACCUUGCGCGAUUGAAUGAGCCGAUGUCGGAUUAGCUAGUUGGCGGGGUAAAGGCCCACCAAGGCGACGAUCCGUAGCUGGUCUGAGAGGAUGAUCAGCCACACUGGAACUGAGACACGGUCCAGACUCCUACGGGAGGCAGCAGUGGGGAAUAUUGGACAAUGGGCGCAAGCCUGAUCCAGCCAUACCGCGUGGGUGAAGAAGGCCUUCGGGUUGUAAAGCCCUUUUGUUGGGAAAGAAAAGCAGCAGGUUAAUACCCCGCUGUUCUGACGGUACCCAAAGAAUAAGCACCGGCUAACUUCGUG
Molecule: ribosomal RNA, 491 nt
Filed under: uncultured bacterium
Lineage: Bacteria
Description: partial 16S ribosomal RNA
Rfam family: Bacterial small subunit ribosomal RNA
Source: RNAcentral